RNAcentral lists this non-coding RNA (95 nucleotides) under human gut metagenome. RNAcentral describes it as "THF riboswitch". It matches the Rfam family "THF (Tetrahydrofolate) riboswitch aptamer". Rfam says of the family: THF riboswitch presents a pseudoknot that joins P1-P2 and the loop of P3 and two THF binding. RNAcentral also lists the same sequence under 1 other name. The record is from RNAcentral.
CAGAGUAGGGCACAGCGCGUUAAGUGCCGUGGGAUGGGAAGUUGCCCACGGACGAAGAGGGGAAACCUUCGCGGUGCUAUGCCCGCGUCCGCUGC